RNAcentral lists this long non-coding RNA (539 nucleotides) under Ananas comosus (pineapple). RNAcentral describes it as "long non-coding RNA (ACOM_LNC030716)". Lineage: Eukaryota; Viridiplantae; Streptophyta; Magnoliopsida; Poales; Bromeliaceae. The record is from RNAcentral.
AAAUUUUAAAUCUUUAAAUUCUAUGAAAUUAAUUAAUUAAUUUUAUUAAUAAUACGAGUAAUAAAUCGCGUAAUAAAAUCUAACAUGAUAGAUGCAAUUUAAAUUAUGUAAAAUAUCGCUGUAUAAAAAAAAUACAGCAUUUAAAUUUCAGGAGUAAAAUUUUAGAAAUAUAGUGUAUUUCUGUGUAUAUAUAAUUAAUUUUAUUAAACAAUUUCUUUUACAAUUUUAUUUUCCCUCUAUUUAUUGAUUUUUUUAAAAAUUAUUUUGAUAGAUUUAUCUCAAAUUCUUUCAAUAUAAAUCUUUAUAAAAUAAAUUGUUGUAUAAAUUUACUCUGCUCAUAUACCAAUUUUAAUGACUUUUAUUUAAAAAGAUUUAGCUAUUAAAUUAUUUUUAUAUAAUAUUUAUUUAAUUAAUAAUUAGGCUUAUAAAAAUAUUAAAAAAAAUAAAAUUCAUUAUAAAAGUGUUUUUAUAUCCGCAGUAUCGCGCUGGUAUUUCACUAGUGUAUGAAGAAGAUUUGAUACUGAAAUAGUAAACAUAAU